GAGAGCCAAAUGAAUUGAAAAAUUCACGUUUGGUUCGGGAAGGGAUCAUGAAUGUUUUGAAAUGAAUGGAGAGAUAAUCUACUUUCAU
This is a non-coding RNA of Spinacia oleracea (spinach), 88 nucleotides long. NCBI's taxonomy places the organism in Eukaryota, Viridiplantae, Streptophyta, Magnoliopsida, Caryophyllales, Amaranthaceae. The record is from Rfam.